GGAGUAGGGAAGAAGGGAGCAUGUAGUCAAAUGGAUGUACCCACAGACGUGGCCUAAGAGCGCGUGCGUCAAAGGAGCGGAUCAUUGCGGUCUCUGAGGUAAGUAGAGCUGACGGCUCUGGAAUGAGUUUCUGUGUGGAAAAAGUUGCAGUACUGACAUUCAUUGUUUGCUGAUCUUGACGUUCCAAGUGAACAAGAAAGAGAGAGAACUACAGUGCUUGGUUCCCUGUUAUUGCCUGGUAGGGGUGACCCGAGGCCUUGCUACCAGGUUACAAGUUUACCUGGUUUUGAAGAUCUCUCUUUUUCUUUAUUCCCAAUCCCCCUUUUCUAUCAUCUCUUUUUUCGUCCAAUCCCCUUUCUAUCCACUUGCACCUGCAAGUACAACGAUAAAGGGCAUUCAGUUGAACCCCUGAAAACGGAACUCUUGAAAACCCCCUGAAAACGAAACUCUUGAAAAAUAACCCCUUGAAAUCUAAACUCUUGAAAAGGAAGGGCAUUCAGUUGACCCCUGAAAAACGGCUUCAUAGGGCAUUCAGUUGACCCCUGAAAAACGGCUUCAUAGGGCAUUCAGUUGACCCCUAAACAACGGUUUGAAAAGGGCAUUCAGUUGACCCCUAAACAACGGUUUGAAAAGGGCAUUCAGUUGACCCCUAAACAACGGUUUGAAAAGGGCAUUCAGUUGACCCCUAAACAACGGUUUGAAAAGGGCAUUCAGUUGACCCUUGGAAACGGAAAUCUUGAAAAAAGAUCCCCUUGGCAAACUUGUUUCCCUCAUUUAACCCUGUAUAGUGUUUCCUUGUGAUUGGUUUCAGGUCAGACAAUUCUCUAAAGAAGCAAACUCUUCACCCGAAGACAGUCAUCACAUUGACCGCGGCAUCUGGAGCUGAAGACACACACAUUCACAUUAUCGACUGAAGCUGCAGUUACCUGUCAUUUCUUAUAGCAGUAUAUUGUGAUUUAAAAACAUCCAGCUUCUUACAGUGUGUACAUACCACAUUUAAUACAUUUAGUAAAAAUACAGUCUAUUAAAAUAUUUGUUGCUGAACCUUUUUACACAUUAAAUACGUAAUUAUUUCAUAAAAAGUUAUUUCUUUUAGCAGUUGUCUUUUGUAAGCUUGUUUCCUACAGAGGUAUAAUCACAUUUUUGGGUUGUGAGUGUGUUUUAAGGAGAUACAAUUGCAUCUAGAUACUGGAUUGUAGUAUAUAAGAAAGCUGUUUGAGUGUACAAUUUAAGGGGAAAAUUACGUUUUGAGAAGUUAUUAAUAAAAAAAGAAUUUUUACAUAUA
This is a long non-coding RNA of Astyanax mexicanus (Mexican tetra), 1285 nucleotides long. RefSeq lists it as uncharacterized. Lineage: Eukaryota; Metazoa; Chordata; Actinopteri; Characiformes; Acestrorhamphidae. The record is from RefSeq and is a predicted model, not a curated record. The transcript is spliced from 6 exons.